This 350-nucleotide unclassified non-coding RNA is filed under the name Hevea brasiliensis (rubber tree). Lineage: Eukaryota; Viridiplantae; Streptophyta; Magnoliopsida; Malpighiales; Euphorbiaceae. The record is from RNAcentral.
AUGCAGUCCAAAAGCAGUGUUAAAGCCAAAAUUUUGAGGAGUAUAUAAUUUCUAUACCUAGUAAAAAUGAUACAGAGGAAAGGUCACUUUUUAAAUUAUAUUUGGUGAUCUCAAACUUGCAAAUCCUAAGUUUAGCAUUGGCCUAGCUCACAGAAUAACAGACAGCUAUGUGACCAUAAUCACAGCCUUCUUCCUUUUUCUUUUUAAGUUCCAAAACGAAAACAUAAUCAGACCCUUCUUUCUUUUUUUAGUAAGCGAUUACGAACAAAAUAAUAUUACUAAUAUUAAGGAGAAACAGCACUGAACAAUUGGCAAGGCAAGCAAGACUUGUAAAAUGAAUGAAUGAAUGA